Molecule: long non-coding RNA, 13477 nt
Organism: Pan troglodytes (chimpanzee)
Lineage: Eukaryota; Metazoa; Chordata; Mammalia; Primates; Hominidae
Exons: 4
Source: RefSeq, a predicted model, not a curated record
UUGGGCAGCCAAGGGUCCCCGUCUCCUACAAACCUGCACACCUGGGGAAGGCAGCAGCUCUGGGGUCUGCAGGGGGGCACCUCAUGGUUCCCAACUCUCCUAGAAGCAAAAAGGGAUUCAAAGAGGCCCACUUGAUCACCUGUCAGGCUGCAUAGCAGUGAGGCUUCCUCCUUUACACCGAUGUCGGGGAAAAGAAAACUACCUGGCAAGUUAGGAUACAGCAGGAACGGUCUCCAAGACAGCCAUUGAAAAUGCCCCCAAAUGCUGGAGACCUCAGCUCCUGCACAAAGACAAAACCAUAGAGGAAAGCACUCAGAAAGGAGCAGGAUGAGGGAAUGCAAAGAAAAGGCAAAUGAGGGAAGCGUUGAAAGCCUUGAUACAAUGGCCACAAAGAAGAGCUCUUCACAAUCGAAGCUUGUUAUGUUUGCUUUGCCAUCAUCCACCAUAAAGUCUGGAAUACAACCUUCUUCCCUUUUCAGUAAACAUCUACUGAGUAAAUCACACGAAGGUAUCUGCUUUCUCAGGAAUUUUACUAAACUACGGUUUGAUGGUAAACUCAACUUCAGAGGGCUUCAACUGUAGCUUGAACCAGGUUUCUUCAUGAGAAGAUAUGGGUGAGAGAGAGGGGAACCACAAAAAACCUGCAUCAUAAUUCAGGUCAAAGCCCUAGGACCAAUUGUAAAAGCUAGGCCCAGAUUUUCCUUCAGCUGGGACCUGGAAUUGGUCUUGAUCUGUUUAUUGUAGGAGACACGUUCCAUUGUAGGUCCCAGAGCAGUGCAGGCACAGAGUUGUAGAAAACCCACAGCAGUCUCAGACUUUUAGAGAAACUGCUCCAGCUUUAGGGUUCAUGUCCUAAAAAAAAAAACAAAAAGAAAAAACACCAGUCCCAGUGCUCAUCUACUUGUUUCUCUCCUUUGUCUUCAGAUUUUCUUAUCCUUCCUUCAUGCUUUAGUUGGCUUUCUGCUGACUUACUUAAUAGAUACAUGAAAACACUUGAGAACUCUUUAUCUAAAUUCAUUGAUGAAAAUCACUUUACUUGGCAAAUAUUUAUUGAGCUUUAUCUUAUAUUGAACUCCUAGUAGUGUUGAGAACUCAAAUUCAAUUGAGAAUUUGUUUUCCCCCACUGAGAAUGUCACUGUUGAGAAGGGAAGGGCGGACUGUGGGAAAGGAGGCUGGAGUCAGUCAGGGAGCAGAGUGUACUUUAAGGAGUCAUCCUAUGGGAAUUUGCAAAUCACAGUGGGGUUCGAGAAGGUCACAGUGGGUAACUUCUUUCUAUUCCCAGUUGGAGAAUAAAGAGCCAGAUGGUCAGGAUGAUGAACAGGGAACUCCCCUUUAGAUGUCAUUCUUCUCAUGGCAAGUGAUGGCAGUGGUAGAGGCAGAGGCUGGGGCAUCUGAGAAAGUGGGAAAAUGAGAUUUCCACAUGGUUUUCGAAGGAGGGUGAUCCUGGUUGAACCAGUUGCCUCUAGGGUGGCAAAACGGUGCCCUGUCCCUUGCCUUCUAUUCUCACAUUGCCCUGUUGACAAAAAUGGCCAAACUCCAUAAAAUAGUUGAAGAGAUUUAUUCUGAACCAAAUAGGAGUAACCAUGGCCCAUGACACAGCCCUCAGGAGGUCCUAAGAACAUGUGACCAAGGUGGUCAGGGUACAGCUGGGUUUUAUAUAUUUUUAAGGAGGCAUGAGACAUCAAUCAAAUACAUUUAAGAAAUACAUUGGUUUGGUUCAGAAAGUUGGGACAACUCAAAGCAGGGGCUUCUAGGCUAUAGGUAAAUUUAAAUAUUUUCUGGUUGACAAUUGGUUGAGUUUAUCUGAAGACCUGGGAUCAAUGGAAAGGAAUGUUCAGGUUAAGGUAAAGGAUCGUGGAGACCAAGUUUUAUUGUGCAGAGGAAUCUUGCAGGUAGCAGACUUCAGAGAUAGAGAGCAGAUUGUAAAAUGUUUUUUUAUCAGACCUAAAAGGGUGCCUGGCUCUUAGUUGAUUAUCUCCUGGAUCUUGAAAGAAAGGAAGGAAAACAAAGGGGAAAGGGGAUUUUCUAUAGAAUGUGGAUUUUUUCCCACAAGAGACUUUGCAGGGCAAUUUCAAGGUAUAGCAAGAAAAUAUAUUUUGGGGUAAAAUACUUUGAUUUUCUUCCUUGUUACACCAGAGUCAAAUUGGAAAGUAAGUCAUGAUAUACAGGGUCAAAUAAAACCCAUCUGAUGAGAUUUAUGGCUUAUAGGGCAUGACUCCUCAGACCCCUUAGGAUAGGAAUUUGGGCAAGGUAAAAAAAAAAAUGAGAGCUUUGUCUUCAGUCCCUUUGGCCAUUCAGGCUCCAAUCAUCCCUUUCUGUCUAAAAAUUAUAUUAGAUGAAUAAAAUAAGAGGCAAGCAGACAAACUAGGAAGAAGGAAAUGGGGGAGACAGAGAAGUCAUUUUUUUUCAGAUGUCUAGAAAGACAAUGUAAAGGUAUGAUGACCAUAAAAAGAGAGCAACACAGAAAAAGAAAACUAAAGAUGCAGCAGGAAAAAAAGCAAUGCAGGGAAAUGUGAUUUGAUGGCAGAGGCCCAAAAAGGGAGGCUCCCGGACAGAUGGAGGAAGAAGUACAGACAUGAAGGUGGUGGUAGUGUCGGCCAUGCCAGGCCACUCUCUUCCCCUGAAGGCAGUGCCUGGGGCAGCUUUAUUCCUUGGUUCCUAGAAAGGGACAUGAAAUGUGAUUUGACAGAGAAGGUACAUCCAGAGAACAUAUAGGGGGCAGAUGAGGAAGCUGUCACAAGAGCAUGAAGGAUCUGAAGGUCCAAAGUAUGCCCACCACUUCCUCACUUCACCUGAACCCCAACCUAUUUCUGUACCUUCACCCCAGCGGUAGAUGAAUCAUGGGCCUGACCCAACUGAGCUGAAGGGAAUAAAGAGAAGAAAGAAAGGUGAUAUGCUGGGGGCUCAGACUGUGGCAUGCUGUGUCCGAGCCUCCACUUCCCUUCCUUAUCACAGUCUAAUUUGAUUUCAUUAACACUGCCCCUUAUCUGGGGGCAGCAUUUGGGAAGCUGACAACCAGAAACUCAUCCUUUCCUCUUAGGUGUGGUUGCUGGGAGGGGUUGGGGUGGGGGAAGUAACAGAAAGCAUCAAGAAUAUGCCUGUUGGAUCAGGGUUCAUGCCCUUGUUAACACACUCAAGACUAUUAAACAAAUGUAAGAAUCCCUCCCUGUCACCAAGAUAAAGCUCAAGCUCUUUAUAUACAUGUCAUGCAUAACAAGAUAUAUAAAAAGGUUUCUUGUUUUGUUUUCAUUGUGGUUUAACAAGCCAAGAAAGAAAAAUAGAUGGAAAAUUUCUCCUAUCUUUUAAAGUAAGGAACUUGACUUAGAAAGGAGGCAGCCAUUAAUACCAAUUUUGUGAACCUUAGUUCAGCACUGAUAUGAAUGGUCUAAAAAUGUUGGAAGUCUGGAAAAGAAAAAAGACUUUUCUGGAGAAAUGUCUUGAAGUGGGGGAGCAUUUUUGGUAUUCCUUGCUGGGAGAGAGGAGUGUGUCCCCCAUGAACUCACACUGAAGAAUGGCCACAAAGAAUGCUGGUGGAUCUGUCCCUUGAAUUUUGCUGGGCACGAUGCCUUGAUAUCUGACCCCAGGGGAAGAAGUGGAGGCUCAGGCUGAGGCUGCCAGGCAGAGAAAGACUUGGUUUCCAUGGGGGCUGGCCGUGCCUCUAUGGAAAGGGAGUAGAGCCGGUGUGAUUUGCUAUGUGGCACUGACCAGACCUGCCACUCAAGGGGAAGCCCUGUCCAGGAGCCGUUUUUAAAUCCCAUCCAGGAGAGUUUCUAGGAAGCAAGUGUUGCGGGUAGGGAGGGAGGAGUGUUUGACUGUAAAAGAAGAGGCAAUUGCUGACCUUGGGAUGUGAUUUACCCACGGCUGGGAGGGUGCAGUUAGACGUGGUCAGGGCACCAAUCUGAGGUAUACUUAGCGCCCUGGUAAGGGUCAGCCCUGAGCAUGUACCACAGCCAGAUCAGGGGCAAACUAAUCCACUUCCCCAUUCCUCAAUGCUGGGGUCCACAGUAAGGCCAGCAGGGAUGAGGAGAAAGAAGCAAAGCUCAAAACUGCAAACCACACCCUCAUCUCCCACUGUGAGUACCCGCCUUAGCCACUACUCAAGAGAGGGAAAACGCUCUAAAUGAAGUUCACAGUGUUGACUCUUGCACAGGACUUGGUAUUCUAGUUACUGAAAUAGAUCUGUCUUAUGACUAAACUGACUCCAGGACUCGUUAUUACCUGAAAGUUUCUGGAAAAAGUCUGGAACUGGCCCAGAAUUUCACCCAAAGGAGGGAAGGCAAGAAAUUGCAUCACAGGGAAGAUUUUACCUCCUCAGUUCUUCUUGGAGACUCGGUGGGGGGCAUUUGUGUCUUGUAAGUGGUCAGUGGAAAUUUCCUUUAUCACUUGCCCUGGGCUUUAGUCUCACAGCAGCAUGUGUUAAGGAAACACUUGGAGUUUUCUGAAAGGCUACUUUUUUCUCUGUGUUGACCUAGCCACGUAUUUAUGGCUCUGCUAAAAUAGACAUCUUGCCACCGUUCUUCUCACUCCUUUGGAAUGAGAUCCUCUGGAAUGCGCCCUAGGCUUGACUUUCUUCUGAAAGUCUUCCGGAAUUUCCCCUGGGCCAGGAGAGACUCACUCCAAAGACUCCCCUGUGGCACCCCUGAUUAUCUCUGUGGUUGGGAACUCAUCACUUCCUUGUCUUUGGUUUCUCCCAAAACGCUGUAAAUUCCUUGAGAGCAGGGACUCUACCUAUGCACUCAUCCAUUCCCAGGGGUUAGAAAACACGGCUUAUUGUAGAUGCUCAGUUAAUGUUUGUUGAAUCAAUGCAUGAAGGCCCCAGGGGGAGAUGGCUUCAGGGUGGCUGGGCCCCAGGAGAUGGCUUUAGGGAAGCUACACCCUGGGGGUCUAGGAUCCUGGCUUCCAGUGCCCAUCACCAGUGAACUGUGCCUAUUAUAGACAUUAGAACAGUAGUGUUCACUGUGAUCAAAGACCAGAGUGUGUAUAGUCUCUGAAACAUUUGGCAAGAGGAACAGAAAAAAGAGGGUGCCCUCAAAUAAGUAAGUGAUGAUAAAUUUUGCUUAUGCCAAAAGGGAUGGGAACUCAGAGGCAGAUUUUAUUUUUUUUAAAAAGGGAAGAAAAAAGAAGUAAAUAAUGUUGCAUCACUUGAAUCUGUGUAUUUUUGUGGAGUAAGAAUUUUAACUGCUAAACCUGCUAUACUUGCAAUGUCUUUAGUGAGUGGUUGUACUCAGAGUUUUUCUAAAAAUGUCUUUUCAGCUCUGCUGAAGAGACUUAAUACAAAUUAAAGCUCUGUUGGCCUCAGGGAUCUCAGAAAUCCUCUGUGACUACUUACUAAGUCAGGACCAUGGAGGGGGAUCCAGUAAGCAGGAAAUCACGUCAGAGACAAGCUAUGAAAAUUUGGGCGAGGACCUGACAUAGAACUAAAAGAUGCCUUUCGUAGGUGCGUUAAAAAAAAUUAACUCAUUUGUAAACAUUCAUUGAAGCAAUAAUGUAGUAAGUUCAGGAAAAAUUUCUAGUAAGCAAAACAUGGCUCAUGGGCAACAUUUGGAGGAAACAACGAUGAUUAUGGUCAUUAUUAGACAUCCAAACGGCAAGACAAUGGCUAAACUUAGUACAAACCCAAGUCCCCGAGGGCAGUAGUAACAACAGAAUGCCUCCAAUGAGUGUUUCAAUAGGCUUUGCAAAAUACUGAGUGUCAUCGUAUGUAUGUGAGGCCCUUAAUAAAUAUCCUUUAGUGGUAGGGGAAAUGGGCCAGAAAUGUUCAGCAGCAUUAAGAAGAGUAUUCGUUCAUUUUGAGAUGACUUCUCAAAGCUGCAAACUAGCCAGUUGUGAGCUUGCAUUUGAGUGCAUGUGAUCCUGCUCUUUUGGUGAAAAAUUGUAGCCCUGUUUUGUUAAAUUGCAGUCUCCAGGGUUUCGGUUCCUACUAUGAACCUAGAGAACAGGCCAGAAGCAUGUUGCACAAGGCUUCCAUUUUCACUGUCCAGUGACUGGUAUCCAAAUUCCCAGAUUUUCGCAGUAAACUUCACUCAGUCUUGUUAUAAUUGUUAUCUGUAAACAUUUUUAUUCAGAAUGUUCUUAAAUGAACUCAGGGAAAGCUGUGCAUUAAAUAGACAUUUAACAGAUGGUCAAGAGAGUAGUAUUCUGAAAUUUGGUAAAACUGCACUAAUGAUAUUUAUAUACUACACUGGUGAAAACAAAACAAACCAAAUUAAAAUCCAAUAUUCGUAUAUUUUAAAUUAUCAUUACUGUCCAUAAAACUAUUUGAAAUAAUAAUUUCUUGUUAGUUUUAAAAAUCAAAAAAUAUUAUUUUAUAUAAAUCCUCCAAAUCCCAAAUCUUCAAAAUCCAACAGGUUAUAUAUUGAAAAGAGUUACAAUUUCUUUAAGUUAUUAAGAAAUUGAGAUAUCUCAUGAAUAAUAUAAUUUAAAAAUCUAUUGGCUAGUAAGUACUGGCAAAGUGAAUAUUUAACCAAUCUUCUGAAAAAAAUUAAAUAAUACAAGCACUUAAGAGUCUAAGAUUCUAAGACAAUGAAUCAUUUUGAAUUGGCCAAAUGCAUCAUAAUUUUUCCAGAAGCUUGUUCAAGUUUUAUUUCCCAUUCUUAGAAAAAUACAGAAGAUAAAGCUGGGUAUAGUGGCACAUACUUGAAGUCCCAGCUGUUUGGGAGGCUGAGGCAGGAGGAUCGCUUGAGUGUGUGAGUUCAAGGCUGCAGUGAGGUAUGAUGGUGAUACUGUACUCCAGCCUGAGCAACAGAGCAAGACAGGAAUCUCAAAAACAAACAAACAAAAAAGAUUAGACUUUAUGGGAUGACACAAAGAAAAUCAUCAUCCCAUCUUCAAUUAAUGUUGAACACUGUCUUAAAUAGUGCAGAAUGAAUGAAUUUUAUGGGAGGCAGUGUUUCCUAGUUUGAAAGUCUGAUUAUUUUCUGUCCUAAAGGAACAUGUUAGAGGGGGUCUCCAGAGUUGCUGAAACCCUUACUCCAUAUAUUGCAAGAAAACUCCUCGAGUGUAGAUUCUGUGUCUGAUGAGUAUCUCUCUGCAGCACACAGCCAAGGGCCUGGACCAUAGAAAAUAUCCAGAACUGAGGACUUCUCCUGCCAAGCCCAGGGAGUCUGAAUGUGAGUCCAAGGCUGGCAGCUUUGCAUGACUUCAACCAUCACACAUAUAUUGUGAGAGAGAAAAUGAGGCUUUGUGUCUCUUAUGCCUCUGAUUUUUAGAAACGGGUCUGGGCAGUGUCAAAGAGUAAAACAGCCUUUGCGCCUCUUAACCACAGGUGUUUGCCUUGGCCUCAAUUAACACUGCACUGAAUCACGCAACUGAGAGUUUGCAGUCACUGGGCUAGACUCCCAGAGACCGCACUCAGGCUGUCCUCAGGCCGCGUGAAAGCCUAGAGAUAUCUUGGUCAGCAGCUUCGCUGGGACCCCAAACUCGAGAAGGGGAAUCAAGCAAGGCACUUUGGCAUCACCAGUGUGAAGAAUCUCUAGCAGGGGAGGCAACAGAGGUAGCAACAUUGUGGCCACGGUUGUGUAGAGUGCAUUGAAUCCAGCACACUGGCACAUACAUGCUUAAACCACACACUUGUGUGCGUGUCCCUGCACCAGGGGCAAAGCUCAUCCCUAGUUUAUGAGUAGUGCCUGACAACUGGCCCCUGUCCUGGGCCAGUCCCAAGCCCGUACGGGCAACAGGGCACGUGUUUUUGAGCCUCUCUCCCACCUUUCAGCCCUCUCCAGGUGUCUUUGGGAAGGAUUCUUGGAGCUUCCCCCUGUCGAACUCGUCUAGGAUCUCCAUGGGCGAGGGCGGCUGGCGGCUGGCGAGCCUGGGCGGCCUGAGAGCGGAGCAGGCUCUGGGUGGGGCUCCCGAGGGUCUUGGCCCGCUGACCGCCACCCACCCUGAGGCCGGAGGGGGGCGGGGGUCACCAAAGGCGGCGGGCCCGUCGUGCGGGGCUGCACGGAUGCACCCUCUCUCCCCUAUUUUUUUUCAUUGGCCGGUUAUUUGCAUAUUUCAAUAAUCUUUGCAGACAUUCCAUUGACAGCAGUAUGUCAAUCAUACAGGUAGAUCAAUGAAGACCUAGGUCAACAAUAGAUGUCCAUAUAAACGUCUGAAAUAGCAAAAGUUGCUGCUUAUAAUGUUUGCAUUCAUGUUGUGGUAGAAAGUCCAUUAACCAGAAUAAUUUUUCAGAAAACUUCCAUAUAUUAAAUUGGAUGGAUUAUUUAAGGAGUGCUAAACGUUUUUUAAAAUAAUAGAAUACAAUAAUAUGUAUCUAUAUAACCACAGCUUGGGAGAGUCUUUUCCAUGCAUGAAGCAAAUGAAGAAAUCUUAAAGAAAAAUCUUGGUUAAUUCUAUCCCACAAAACUGCUAAAAGUUAUAAAAGCUUAAUUUAUGGUGAGAAAAAUACCAAAAAUAUUAAAUUUAUAUUUUCUGUUCUAUUGAAGCAAUUAGAACAAAUGCAAUUUUAAAAUAUUUUAACCAAUUUAUAAGAGUAUAAACUCUUGAACUGAUUAAGAAUGGAUCAUAAAAUAAAUUUACAUUCAUGAUAUAGUUUUAGAGUGAGAAUGUAAAAUGAGAUAUUGAAGGCAUGUUUUCUAAUAAUGAACCUCAAUGAGGCUUCAGAGAGUGAAAUAAUAUCCUUUGGAUUAAUGUUUAAUCGAAACUAAUAUUUACUGCUCUAGUGCAUUCAAGAGAGCCUGUUACUAGGUUUUUGAAUGUAUGAUUGUGUUUCAGAACCAAUUUAAAAUAACUAGAUGAGUGACUUUAGAGAAAAUGACAAUAAGGUUGUAUAGAAAUAGAUAUUUCUUUGGAGGUUUUACUUUAGAAAAUUUGAAAAAGUAAUUUUUAUUCUGCCACAGUUGUGUGUUCCUCUCUGCAUAUAAAAUGGUAUUUCCUCACUUAUAAACCCCAAACUCUUCUACAGUGAAGGUAAUACACGUUUAGAAGGAACACUGGGAUGUGCUUAAAAUACUCCCUUGAGAUGCUGGUUGCUUUACAGAGGGCAGUUCUCUGCCUCGUUGAAUGGUGGAUUCACUGGUUGGAGUGCGUGUUUUCUUUUUUGAUAGACACAAAACCCACAUACUUUGAAAAUCUUCUGUGUUAAAUGUUCUGUUCAAAUAAGAGACUUAUCCCAGAAACAAGAGGGUCCUGGCCACAGCCAUUCAUUACAUAAAAAGGAAAAGAAAGUAGACAUUUUAGGUACCUUUAUCCUUGCUUCCUAAUUGGCCGCCUAGGCUUGCCAGGUACGGCAGAAAGAUAAUCAGACUUUCUUUUUACAGGAUAUUAAAGAUGAGAAAGGCCUUGGAGAUGAUCAAAUCCAAUCCCUUUAUUUUCUAAAGAAACUGUGGCUCAGAAUAAUUGACCUGACAGAUAGAAACUGAUGGAAAAUUUUAGUUCUGUUACUUACUUGCUGUGAGACCAUUUUGAAAAUAGACAUCAUAUCCUGUUUUAAUUACCCUAGACUUCAGAAAUAAGCAUUCCAAGAUAAACCUAUCUGUAUCUGGGGGAAUAAAAAAUCCUUUUCAAAAUAAUGCAAGUGCUGGCAUUAAGCUAGUCAAAGAUAAAGACUGUUAUUACCAACAAAUAUUUAUUGCAUGCCUUCUGUCUGCUGCUGAAUUAGGCAGCAUGGGCUAGAAAAAUAUUUUGAAGCCAGUCAAGUGGUAAUUUCUAUAACCUCCUAGCUCUAAAAUGUAAUUUGGGGUGUUACUCAACCUCUCUGGACCUCAGUUUCCUCCUCUGUAAUAUAUGAAUGAAGUAUAUUUUUAGAAUUAUUGUAAGGAUAGAAAGAGACAAUCUAUGGAAAACAACCUACCAUAAAGGACACUCAAUGGAUACUAGUUCUCUUCUGUGGCUAAGAGUUAACAAACAAAAAUAUGCCUCUUCCUCUACAGGCACAUUUGGCACUGUCUUUGGGUCAACUUUCUCUGUUCUGCUGGGAUAUCUGAUAGAGUUGGGAUGUCAGCUGUUACUAGGUAACAUUGUUUAUAAUGAAAGUGACCCCUAACUGGGGAAUUGUAUCCAACUAAAAGGAGGUACAAAGGAAUGAGGUGUAUCCCAUACUGGUGACUCGUAUAAUGGGAGAUACAUGGCCUUUUCAGGGACCCUGGAGGCUAAACUAGGAAGUGUUCCAGAAAAUAUUGGUUCCUAGUUGGAAUGUGGAGCUCCUGUACUUGUCUGGGCUAGUUUUCUUUCCUCACACCUAAGGAGAGCUUCAAAGGCAUAGCCCUUAACCAGAGAUGUUGACUUCUGUAAGGAUCCUUCUUACUAAAAAGAAAAGGCUGACGCUGUUCUGUUGGCGUGCUGUGUGUUUCGUGGCUGAUAUCCUUUCAAGAGCCAGGCCUAGUCCAUAGCAGUCAUGCAAGUCUAUUUUCUUGAGCCCAAAAAGACCCCAGGUUGGGCACUGCAUUUUCCUAAAGACACUAAAGGGGAUGCAAAGAAGAAUAAGACUUGGAAUGCAGCUAAUGGUUUCUAAUCUAUUGGUGAAAUGGUGGCAUGCACAUGAUUUAACUAUAUGACAAGCCAGAGAGUGGUAUUUGAGAAAUAAAACAAACUAAAAAAGGUCAUAGGAACAGAAAUAGGAAAGAAAUGGCUUUUGGCUUAAGGAAAUAGAUAAUUUGUCUUUCAGGGAUAGCAUUCAAGCCUAGGUAGGAAUGGCACAGUUACAAGGCAGAGCAUUUCAUGUAGAGGUUGCACUGGGCAGAGUCAAGGCCAAUGGACAGAAACUGGGGGAGAUUGAGUUUGGGGAGGAGUCAUGAUAGAUGGGUGGCAGAGCAUGGAGGACCAAGAUGACCAUUUUAUUAUGUAAAUAAUAAGAAACUGUUAGUCUCUAAACAGUGGCAUACAAUUACCCAGAGAGAAAGAAGAUACCAAUAAAUCAUGACAGGAGAAAAGUAAUGGAAGUUUCCUUUUUUCCCCCCACCCUGAUAUGGAGUUUUGCUCUUAUGCCCAGGCUGGAGUGAAGUGGCGCAGUCUGGUCUCACUGCAACCUCUGCCUCCCAUGUUCAAGCAAUUCUCCUGCCUCAGCCUCUGGAGUAGCUAGGAUUACAGGCAUCCACCAACACACCCGGCUAAUUUUUUGUAUUUUUAGUAGAGACUGGGUUUCGCCAUGUUGACCAGGCUGGUUUCAAACUCUUGACCUCAGGCAAUCCACCUGCCUCGGCCUCCCAAAGUGCUAGACUUACAGGCAUGAACCACCGCUUCCAGCCAGAAGCUUCUUAAUAAGGUAGGAGAAAGACCUCCUGCUGGUAUAAGAGGGUCAAAUAUGGCUUGAAGAAAGCAGAAUACUGAGACCAGCAAGAAUAGGUAUUGAACUAGCCAACUGGCUAUAAAUAAAAGAGAUCAAGUGGAAGUGUGAUGUUAUAAAGUUGCAGUGAAACCCAUGGUCUCAGUCACAAUGCUUUCUAAAAGCAGUUGCUUUUAAAAGCAUUUUUAACCUGUAAAUACACUGUAUAUCACCACUCAUUCAUAUAUAAUAUGUUUCCCAGAUGAGUAACAAAAAUUGUUAUAUAUAACAAAUAUUUCCCCAAAGAGCUUUCAGCCCCACUUCAUGUAAUGUAGCCUACAUUCUAUUGGCAUUUUGUGAAUGCAUCUUCCAACCCAGUAAAUUAAUUUUAAAACCUGGGUGUUAAAUUCUAUCUGAAAAUCGGCGUUCUGCAGUAAUGGUUACCAGCUGCAAGUGGAGAAAGCAGAAGUCAGAUUUACUCAGAACCAAGGAGUGACAUGGUAGUCACUGGAAAGUCAAAGAAGGAAGCAACUGUGGGGUGUCAGUAAGAACACAAUUGAAGCAUCUGAUGGUGGGCAGGGAGGCAAAUAAAGUAAGAAGUAGGCCUAAGAAUUAAGCGGCACUAAAACAUGAAUAAGAAAUUUAUAUUUGGAGUUAUGGAAAUCUUGGUUCAAAUCCCAACUCUCUCCAGCUCUGAGCUGGACAAGAUUAAGUUGUUGUGAAGAUGCAAUGAGAUCGUUUUAAAGAGCUUAGAGCAGUCCCUGGCAAAUAGGAAACGUUCAUUCAUUUAAUGCUAGCUGCUUGAUGGUGGUAAUAAGAGUAGGCUCAGUUGACAGAAGACAAUAGGAAAAGUAACACAUAAAGAUGUCACCAGAAGACAAAGCUCUGGAUUUAAGAUUUGGAAGUUGGAAAAACUCUUGGAAGCUUAGCAAAAUUGUAUAUAACCAGGCCCAUAUGAAAUGGAGUGCUGUUGCAAGUUACUGUGCUGAGGAAGUUGAGGCUCUAAGACGAAAAUGUUGGCAAAUGGCUUGGAUUUGGAAUAAUGAAGAAGAGAGGCCAAGAGCCAAUCCUAAAGUAAUGACAGGAAGUUGGUGGGUGUCCCAGAGAGAGGUCACUUCUGGUAAGGAGCAUAGGGAGAGAAUGGAGGCAGAGGAGUCCUGUAAACUAAAAUCCAGUGAUUUGGGAAUAAAAUGAGCCUCCCAGUUUGUUUGAAUAAAGUACUUGAAUCCAAACCAACAUUUUCUUGCUCCCAAUGCAUAUAUCAGGAUAAAACAUUUUGACACAUCGUAAAAUGCAUAUAAUUCAUAGAUACAAUACUUUACACAAGAAUGUAACACAUCAUAUUGUUCAGAUACUCAUAUGCCUAGUGCUAGGCAUUCAAAAAUAUUUGUUGAAUAAAUGAAAACUCCCAGCUCUGCCACUUACUUAAUUAACCACAAAAAAAAUUGUGUCGUCAGUAAAAUGGAUAUGGUGAUACGCACCUCGUGGAGUGAGAUAAUAUACAUGAAGUACCCAGAACAUAUUAAGCAUUUGAUAAAUAAUAGCUGUUAUUGUUGUUUUAAGUAUGUGUCAAACAUAGUUGUAAAUGCUUUAUAAGAAUUUAAAAUUUAUACCACAGAAAACAUUUUCUAUGUCCUGUGAGAAAUAUGUAUGUUUUGUAUUUUAAAGAGAAAAAUGUGUUUAAAUAACCAGUCAAGUGUCUGAUACACAUCAUCUUGACUGUAUAUUAGAUUAAUUCAUCUAUAAUUAAUAUGUUAGUCAUUUCCAAGACCAAUGUAGUUGUCUACCACUUCCUAGCACACCUGGGCUGCACAAAUAUGUGGGUCUGAUAUAAUGUCAGAAAUGCAGGAAGCUAUAUGAGAUUCCAGCCCUCUAUUUUUCCAAGUAUAAAAGAACUUAUGAAUCAAGAGCCGAAUAAAAAACAUAGUACUCUUUCUGAUAAUCUGUCAACAAGUUUGCAACCAUGUCAGGCAUGUUAUGUGAUUACGAAUUGCUCAAUGCUAUUAUGAAAAGUAUUUUCAACAAGUGAAACUUCUGGAGUUCUCUGCAGUUCUGGGAUCAAACCUCAGUGCCUUGUCCUAACGUCCCAUUAGGACAGAAGUGCCCUUCCUGAGAGUGUGGCAGCAUAAUGACAUUCUAGCACCUGGACCGAUUACACUGCUCUCCCUGAAGUAGUGGAUUCUUUCAUCAGCAGGAGAGAGAAGGGUGAAUUGUAUAAAGUGGAGCCUGACAGUGUGUAUUUUAUUCUUUAAAAUAAAAAAAUUAGGAACAUAAAAA